RNAcentral lists this ribosomal RNA (305 nucleotides) under uncultured bacterium. RNAcentral's name for it is "bacterial SSU rRNA". It matches the Rfam family "Bacterial small subunit ribosomal RNA", at positions 336 to 656 of the family's 1533-position model. The record is from RNAcentral.
UUCCUACGGGGCGCAGCAGUGGGGAAUAUUGGACAAUGGGGGGAACCCUGAUCCAGCGACGCCGCGUGAGUGAAGAAGUAUUUCGGUAUGUAAAGCUCUAUCAGCAGGGAAGAAAGAAAUGACGGUACCUGACUAAGAAGCCCCGGCUAACUACGUGCCAGCAGCCGCGGUAAUACGGAGGAUGCGAGCGUUAUCCGGAUUUAUUGGGUUUAAAGGGUGCGUAGGCGGACGCUUAAGUCAGCGGUAAAAGUGCGGGGCUCAAUCUCGUCGAGCCGUUGAAACUGGGUGCCUUGAGUGGGCGAGAA